Molecule: ribosomal RNA, 470 nt
Filed under: uncultured bacterium
Lineage: Bacteria
Description: bacterial SSU rRNA
Rfam family: Bacterial small subunit ribosomal RNA
Source: RNAcentral
ACUCCUACGGGAGGCAGCAGUGAGGAAUAUUGGUCAAUGGUCGCAAGACUGAACCAGCCAUGCCGCGUGCAGGAAGACGGUCCUAUGGAUUGUAAACUGCUUUUAUACAGGAAGAAACCCCUCCCACGUGUGGGAGCUUGACGGUACUGUAGGAAUAAGGAUCGGCUAACUCCGUGCCAGCAGCCGCGGUAAUACGGAGGAUCCAAGCGUUAUCCGGAAUCAUUGGGGUUUAAAGGGUCCGUAGGCGGCCUUAUAAGUCAGUGGUGAAAGCCCAUCGCUCAACGAUGGAACUGCCAUUGAUACUGUAAGGCUUGAAUUAUUGUGAAGUAACUAGAAUAUGUAGUGUAGCGGUGAAAUGCUUAGAUAUUACAUGGAAUACCAAUUGCGAAGGCAGGUUACUAACAAUGGAUUGACGCUGAUGGACGAAAGCGUGGGGAGCGAACAGGAUUAGAUACCCUGGUAGGAUAGCG